This 21-nucleotide non-coding RNA is filed under the name Arabidopsis thaliana (thale cress). The record is from RNAcentral. Lineage: Eukaryota; Viridiplantae; Streptophyta; Magnoliopsida; Brassicales; Brassicaceae.
GGAGGUGCCGAGGAUGCUAUG